Molecule: unclassified non-coding RNA, 222 nt
Filed under: uncultured Erythrobasidiales
Lineage: Eukaryota; Fungi; Basidiomycota; Cystobasidiomycetes; Erythrobasidiales
Description: sequence contains ITS2
Source: RNAcentral
AACUCUCAACCCCCUUGUUUUGUAAUGAAGCAGGCGUGGGCUUGGCUUAUGGCUGUCUGCUGGACUCUUUAAGUAGAGACCGGCUCGGCUGAAAUACACGAGUAACCCAGUUUGAAUAUUAACGGUUUGACUCGGCGUAAUAGCUUUAUUUCGCUGAGGACGUUUCAUAUCAAGAUAGUGGUGCUUCUAAUGCGUCGUAGCGUCAGCUGCACACCUUUAAGC